Molecule: long non-coding RNA, 2260 nt
Organism: Oncorhynchus masou masou (cherry salmon)
Lineage: Eukaryota; Metazoa; Chordata; Actinopteri; Salmoniformes; Salmonidae
Exons: 3
Source: RefSeq, a predicted model, not a curated record
UUCUAUAUAAUCAUUUUAACUGAAAAGCACGUAAUUUAGCAAUUUUAUUCGUAUUUACAGAUGGCAUACAAGUUUGUUAUUAACCUCUAUAGGAUCGGUGUCCUCACACGCGAUACGGUUGAGCUACUGUUUGAUGAGAGUGCAAAACUUUUAUCACGGCAACUGGUUUGAUAGAUUCACCUCUGAAGGUAAAUAAUGACAGAUAAAAUGUAGCAUAGUUUUGUUUGAUAAAAUCCAUUUUUAUAUUCAAUUGUAGGAACUGGCUUCCACAGUUUGAAACCCUGCUGUAUCUGCCUUCCCCCACCCCCCAUCUAGACGUGCGAAGAUUUGAUCCUUUAUAUAUUGGGCAGAGAGACCAGUUCCCUACCACCUGCUGCUGCCACCUGCAUUUUUGGGGGGGAUGACAUUGAAGCCAGCUCUGCAAUGCUUGUUUGAAAAAGAGAGAUACUUUGAAAAAUGUUUUAUUUUUAAUUAAUCAAAUGAGAAAUGACAAUCAGCACAAGGGCAAAAAGGCCAUUUUUAAACAAUGGAUAAGCUUUUCUUAGUAAUCUAUCUGAGAACCAUUUAGGGUUGAAGUAAAACUUUCAGAGAGAGGUGCUUUUAUAUUUAAUAAUCUCAACCCACCCAAUUCAUAUUAAUUAUGUAGAUAGGCAUAAAUUGUCUGGUUUAGCAUCCAAGAUAAAGUAAAAUAUUUUUUGCUCACAUGAUUUGAACAAUGAAUCAUCAGGAAUAGGCAGUGCCAUAAGUAAGUGAGUAAACUGAGAUAUGACUAAGGAGUUAAAUAGGGCAGGAUCUUCUUUGUCUAAGUUUUCUAUUGAAAUUAAUUGUGGAGAGCUCAUAUAUUUUGUGAUAUCCAGGCAUUAAAAAUCCAGUAUUACUUCAUCAAAGGCCUUUUCUAAAAUCUGCUAUAAAUACCAGACCUGGCUUCUUAGAUGUUUCAUGAUGUUCUGUUGUUAUUUCUAGUAGUAGUAGUCGUAUAUUAUCUCCAAUGUAUCAUCCAUGUAGAAAACCUGUCUGAUCAGGAUGAACAAUACCUGGUAAAAACCUUUUAAUUCAUUGAGUGCUAUGCAGUUUGCUAGAAUUUUUACAUCACAACAUUGAAGUGUAAGAGGCCUCCAGUUUUUAAGAUAAACUGGAUCUUUAUAUUUGCCAUCUGGGUCUUGUUUUAAUAAUAGACCUUCCUGAGGAGUACCUGACAGACUACCAUUUCCAUAGGGAUAGUUAAAACAAGCCAACAAUGGACUUUUUAGUAUAUAAAAAAAAGGCUAUACCUCGACAAGUGUGCCAUCGAGCCUUAGGGUUUUUCCAGACUGAAAGGAUUUAAUAGCCUCAAAACAUUAAUCCUCUAAUUUGGCCUUCACACUGAUCUUUCUGUACAUUUGUUUAAUUUCCUUUUUUAAAUUAUUAUUUGGAAAGAAUUCCUUACAGUAAUCGUCAUUCAGUGGGUGAGGAUGAGACCGAAAAGGGAAAUUGUUGAGCGUGAAAAACCCAGCAGUGUUGCAAUUCUUGACACAAACUGGUGCGCCAGCCACCUACUACCAUACCCUGUUCAAAAGGUACCUAAAUCUUUUGUCUAACCCAUUCACCCUCUGAAUGACACACAAACACAGUCCAUGUCUCAAGGCUUAACAAUCUCUUUAACCUCGUUUACAAACCUUUACCUGUAAUUUGCACUGUUAUUUCAUUUGAAACUUAACGAUGGGAAUUAUAAAAGUAGAUUUUUUUAACCAGAGUUUAAUCAACUGUGUGAUGCAUGGGUUUAGUUGUCAACAGCUUCCCAGCAGAAGUCAUAGAAAUUACCCAGUUAUAAGAGAAGUGCACGAACCAUCCACGUGAAGAUUAAUUUGUGGAAUCAUAUGAUCGACUCGAAGAGAUUCAGAUAAUUUCUGCCCUGCUAGAGCUGCCCCAGUAAGUGAUGUUAUUGUGAAGUAGAAACAUCUAGGAGCAACAACGGCUGAGCGGCACAGCCGAGUGCUGGAGCGCGGUUGCAACACUCACUAUCGAGUUACAAACUGCCUCUGGAAGCAACGUCAGCACAAUAACUACUGGUCAGGAGCUUCAUGAAAUGUGUUUCCAUGGCUGAGCAGCUUGAUACAAGCCCAAGAUCACUAAGCAUCCGCUGGAGUGGUGUAAAGCUCGGCGCCAUUGAACUCUGGAGCAGUGGAAAUGUGUUCUCUUGAGUGAUGAAUCACAAUUCACCAUCUGGCAGUCCAACGGAGGAAUCUGGUUUUGGCAGAUGCCAGGAGAACUUGCCCCAAUG